This 253-nucleotide ribosomal RNA is filed under the name uncultured bacterium. RNAcentral describes it as "partial 16S ribosomal RNA". It matches the Rfam family "Bacterial small subunit ribosomal RNA", at positions 524 to 776 of the family's 1533-position model. The record is from RNAcentral.
UACAGGGGGGGCAAGCGUUGUUCGGAAUUACUGGGCGUAAAGGGUUCGUAGGUGGCCAACUUAGUCAGACGUGAAAUCCCUCAGCUUAACUGGGGAACUGCGUCUGAUACUGGAUGGCUCGAGUGCAGGAGAGGAACGCGGAAUUCCAGGUGUAGCGGUGAAAUGCGUAGAUAUCGGAAGGAACAUCAGUGGCGAAAGCGGCUUCCUGGACCAGUACCGACGUUCAGGCACGAAAGCGUGGGGAGCAAACAGG